Molecule: long non-coding RNA, 1304 nt
Organism: Cydia pomonella (codling moth)
Lineage: Eukaryota; Metazoa; Arthropoda; Insecta; Lepidoptera; Tortricidae
Exons: 2
Source: RefSeq, a predicted model, not a curated record
UUAUAAAAACAAUUAAGAUUUUGUUAUGUCUGACCAUACUCUCAAGGUGAGUGAUAUUAGUACAUUACGAUACAAGUGCGAAAAAUAGGAAAUUCGAAACGAGUGGCGAUAAAUUAAAACACGACCGAAGGGAGUGUUUUAAAUCGACACGAGUUGCGAAUUACCUAUUCGCACAUGUAUCGUACAACUUUUUACAGUACAUAUGGGGCUACUUUAUAGCACUAGUGCGAGAAGUAGCAUAUUACGUUACUGUGUCGAACAUUUAAAGGGCCAUAUGUACUGUAAAACGUUGUACGAUACAUGUGCGAAUAGGUAAUUCGCAACUCGUGUCGAUUUAAAACACUCCCUUCGGUCGUGUUUUAAUUUAUCGCCACUCGUUUCGAAUUUCCUAUUUUUCGCACUUGUAUCGUAAUGUACUAUUUUGAGUUUCAGUUACCCCCAAACAUUUAUUGUUUUUUUUUCUAUUUUUGUGUAAAAAUCUUAAUGCGGUUCAUAGAAUAACAUCUACUUACCAAGUUUUAACAGUAUAGCUCUCAUAGUUUCGGAAAAAAGUGGCUGUGACAUAAUCGGAAAGACAGACGGACAUGACGAAUCUAUAAGGGUUCCGUUUUUUGCCAUUUGGCUACGGAACCCUAAAAAGCCCACUUGCCGGUAACAGACUGUAUAUUUAUAUUAGUUAUACAGAUUGAUCCCGUUUUUGUCAAAACCAAGUUCUGAUGAUGGGAUCCAUGAGGAUACGAGGGAACUCGUCAAAGGCAUAUAUGGUGAUUUUUAUAUUUUAUUUAACAAAUCAAGCAUUGACAUUUAAGAAAGUGAAAUUUGAUGAAGUGGAACUGCUAAUAAUGAUCAUAGCGGAACUCUUCAACUAGGUACGCAUAGUUCACGUUUUGGGAUUUGCUUUCUUCGUUAUGUUUGUUAAGCAAGUUAGGUUUUGAAGACUCAUUUUUGUCAAGCUCGAGUUCUGAUGAUGGGAUCCAUGAGGAAUCGAGGGAAUUCCUCGAAUGUUAAAGGCAUACAUAUAAUGAUUUUUGUAUUUUCAUCAGGAAAUCAAACAUUUACAUUAAAAACAGUGGCAUUUGAUGAAGUGGAACUGCUGAUGAUGACCAGAACGGAACUCUUCAACGACGCAUAGUUUACAUUGCAAGAAUACGAUUUCGACUUGAAUUUGGACCUGGACCAGGACCCGAACUCAGACUAGAACCUGGACCCAAAUUCUAACUCGGACCCGGACCCUCGCCUGGAGUCCUGGAUUCGGACUCGGGCUAGGACCCGUAAUCGCACUUUGGCCCGGACUCGGACCCGAA